UACGUAGGUGGCAAGCGUUGUCCGGAUUUAUUGGGUUUAAAGGGUGCGUAGGCGGCCCUGUAAGUCAGUGCUGAAAUACCCCGGCUUAACCGGGGGGGUGGCAUUGAUACUGCAGGGCUUGAGUACAGAUGAGGUAGGCGGAAUUGACGGUGUAGCGGUGAAAUGCAUAGAUAUCAGCAGGAAUACCCGUGGCGAAGGCGGCCCCCUGGGCCGAACCUGACGCUGAGGCGCGAAGGCUAGGGGAGCGAACGGG
This 253-nucleotide ribosomal RNA is filed under the name uncultured bacterium. Its description in RNAcentral is "partial 16S ribosomal RNA". It matches the Rfam family "Bacterial small subunit ribosomal RNA", at positions 524 to 776 of the family's 1533-position model. The record is from RNAcentral.